Molecule: long non-coding RNA, 1700 nt
Organism: Betta splendens (Siamese fighting fish)
Lineage: Eukaryota; Metazoa; Chordata; Actinopteri; Anabantiformes; Osphronemidae
Source: Ensembl
AUGUUGUGUGCUGUUGCUCUGUUUCUGCCUCCAUCCAGGCUGAAUAUGAGUCAUCCGGGGCCUAAUGGAGGGAAUGUACACUCGUUCACCAACAGUGGUGCUUUUAACUCUGGGCCACAGGAUGCAGACCUGCAGAGCAGCUGUCCACGGCCACGGCCUCUGUCCCGUCCACAACCCCCCUCUGCUGCUCCUGUGUUCUACGUUCAUGCGCCAACUGCUCCUCCUCCACCUGCAUUCCACUAUCCGUGGCCACUUCCCAUGCCCUUAUUCUUUAACCCCCUUGAGGGCUUCCCCGGCAUGGGCUAUGGCAUUUUCAUGCCACCUUUCCCUCCCUACAUGGAGACUCCAGCCUACAUUAUGCCCCCCCCUCACGUCCAGCCCAUGGACUACAGACGGCUGCUCCACCCUCAGGCCCAUGUGCCUACGGCAGCUCACCAGAACACCAACCAGAUGAGGAGAACCCGCCCGCCUCGUGGUGCAUCUACAGAAACCGUGAACGCUGCGGUCCAGACAGAACUCACUGAAAGACACGCUAAUGAUUAUGGCGACCGAAGCCCACUUGUCCUUCCAGAUUCUGGACAUGGGACUACCUCUGUCUCUCCCUCUUCAAGCUCUAGUUCCAAAAGAAGAGACGCUGCUGAAGCCAAUGACUUUAAGAGUUUGGAACAAAAAGUGAGGAACCUGAUGAGCAGUAAUGGAGACGUGCAGAUUAAUGACGCUAGAACAAAAGUACCGCUCAAACCCAGCUUCAACGUUCAACAUCCUACUCGAUCUGUGGGUACAUCUAUCAGGGCAAUUCUGGACGAUCAGAAGAACCACAAAGAGGGUAGCGCUCAGACGAAUGAUGGUCACUGCAAAGUCUGGUCGGUCAGUUCUUCUGAUAGUAUUGUCCCCGUGUGUAGUUCUUCUCAACAAGAUGACGUUUUCAGAGAAAGACUUUCCUCCAUUUGUGGUGUUCAGAAGCUGCUGCCCUCAGAAAGUCCAAAUGCUCGUGAUAAGUGUGUGGACCAACUCCCAGGCGAGGAUGACUCUUUUGCCAAAGACUGUGAAUGUCUUUACAAAAUUCUGAAACUACCUUUAGUUCGGUCAAGAGAAGAUGCUCAUGAAAUGUCUUCAGGCAACUUCCAGACAAGAAAAAAGAUGGCUGAGGUGUCUCCAAGGGGACAUCUGGUGGACUGUGGCAUCCAGUGUGACCAAAUCCAGUGUUUCUGUGAGAAGAUCAGAAGCAGCAGAGGAACCUGCAGAAGGAAUCUACUCAGACCUUCAGGUGUGAAGUCAAACAAUGGUGGCAGCAAAGUAUUCUGCAUGAAUGGAUCUUCGCAGAAAAACCAGAAUAGUCCUGAAAACCUAACUGGGCAGCAGAUGUCACAUGAUGGGCUCCCUGGCCAAACUGGGAAAAGGGGUGAGCACGGCUCAACCGCUCUCCUUACAGUGGACAGAACUAGAAAUAGAUUCCCGUAAUUCCUGUUGAGGAAUUAUUUGCUUUAAUGUUAUAAAUUUGUGCAAGACAAAUGUGUGCUUAAACACUAAAUACAGAAAUUAGCCUUGAUGAAACUUUUCAUUCAGGAAAUCGCCAGAUUUCAUUGUUCAUUGCUAGUCUCAGGGUUUGGUUUUGCUUUGCUACUCGUCGGUGGAGGAAACCACAAAUGAGGAAAGACAUGAUUUUAUAUUGUCUAAUAAUAAAAUGAUCUAUUUUUUCA